GAUGAACGCUGGCGGCGUGCCUAAUACAUGCAAGUCGAGCGAACAGACGAGGAGCUUGCUCCUCUGACGUUAGCGGCGGACGGGUGAGUAACACGUGGAUAACCUACCUAUAAGACUGGGAUAACUUCGGGAAACCGGAGCUAAUACCGGAUAAUAUAUUGAACCGCAUGGUUCAAUAGUGAAAGACGGUUUUGCUGUCACUUAUAGAUGGUUCCGCGCCGCAUUAGCUAGUUGGUAAGGUAACGGCUUACCAAGGCAACGAUGCGUAGCCGACCUGAGAGGGUGAUCGGCCACACUGGAACUGAGACACGGUCCAGACUCCUACGGGAGGCAGCAGUAGGGAAUCUUCCGCAAUGGGCGAAAGCCUGACGGAGCAACGCCGCGUGAGUGAUGAAGGUCUUCGGAUCGUAAAACUCUGUUAUUAGGGAAGAACAAAUGUGUAAGUAACUAAGCACGUCUUGACGGUACCUAAUCAGAAAGCCACGGCUAACUACGUG
This 497-nucleotide ribosomal RNA is filed under the name uncultured bacterium. Its description in RNAcentral is "partial 16S ribosomal RNA". It matches the Rfam family "Bacterial small subunit ribosomal RNA", at positions 28 to 507 of the family's 1533-position model. The record is from RNAcentral.